CCAUGGGCAGCCUCUCCACCGUCGCCACUUGUCCACCUUCUCCAUCCUCCAGCCGCCGUGGCCCUGUGAACCCAUCAUGGACCCGCUUGAACCCAUCGGGGCCCGAGCCAGCUCACGCGCCGCCGCCAUUAGUGCCCGCCUCCGCCGCUCGCGCCCGAGCUCCCCUCACCAUGCCGCCUGCUCACCCUCGCGCGAGAUCUCCUGUCGACCUGCCAGAGACCACAACCGGAACGGGCCGACCUCGCCGCCUCCUCUCCUUUCUCCUCCAUUUCUCUCCCUUUCCACUCUAACCCUCUAUCUCUAUUGCAGUCAUGGAUAGGCGCCAUGGACGCACCCAAGCUCGGAGCUCAUGCCGCCACCUUGCCUCGCUGCCGCCUCGGGCCAGAUCCGGCGGCCAUGGCCCCUCCUGCGGCCGGAUCCGGCCCGAUCUGCCCACCUGCGCCGCUCCCCUACUGUUCGUCGACCCCGCCGCCACGCCGAACCGUCGCCAUGGCCUUUGUUUCGCCCGCUGGUACGUCCUCAUCUCAGGAUCCGCCAAGCCUUCCAACCAAAGAACAUCUGGAACCGCUCCAUCCUAGUUUUCCUGCGAGGUCGGAUUUUUCCUUGUCCUCAGAUUUUUCACAUCAGAUUGUAUUUUGUGAUGAUGGUAACUUUGUGCAUGUUUGUCCGAUGGAAAUUAUCUUUCUAUGAAAAGUGAUCUACUCUUUGUGUGCUUAAUGAUGGUUGCAUUUGCAUCCUGCAUAGGAUUCAUCUACAUGUUGUAAUCUCUGUUGCAAAAGUGCAUCAUGUCGUAAUCUACAUAAAAUUGUUAAAACAUUCAAACUUACGUUGAUCCUUGCCACCAAUCCAUAACUCAUAUGCAUAUGAUUCCUUAAGGUGUUUUGCACUAUGAAGUGUUUAUUUUAAUGCGAUGCCCAUGGAUGCCAUGUCAAUUUUCUUUGGCAUGUCUAUUUCUUCCUCUUAAGUGGCUAUCAUGGUAUAAAUACAUUCCUAUUAACACAAAGUUCCAUUUUGUAAAAAUCAUAGUAAUUAAUAAAUGCAUCCUAUGAAUUUGUGCCUAUGAAGUAAAAUGAACAUUGCAAUGUAUAAUGCAUGUACAUAUAUUAUUCAUAAAUAUUGAAAUUGGUUUACUUAAUGUUUAGUGCAUCUCAAUUCAGCAUCAUAAUUUUACUGUUUUCGAAUUCCCGGAUUUUCCCGAAGUCCUAGAACUUAGCAAAACAUUGCAUUUUGCAUAAAUCAUAUUAAAUUAACCAUGAUGCCUAUGAACCCGAACCUUAUAUGAAAAUUGUAGCAUGUUCAAGCAACAAUAAAUGCAGAUCCUUUUCAUAUGUUUUAACAACAUGCAUAUUGAUGUUCCGUUGCUCCCAAGUAGGCAUCUUGUUGUUUUGGCAGAUUACAAUCAACACAAGUUGUUCAGGUACGUGAUAGAUUAUGUUAUAUGUAUCCAGUUUGCUUGAUACUUUGUUCAUGUAAACAUACAUGCAUCUAAAAUUGUAAUUGUUUCAUUCUAGGCAAUGUGUUUGGUUACAGAUAUGGGAACACAUUUGAUUAACUAAAGAAAUGAUGGUUGUGAUCCACUCUUAUAAGAUGCCAAAGCCUUUUGCAGCAAAAAUGGCAUUCAGAUACUAAAUAUGGAUGCCAUGUUUAUUAAAUGGGGGAAAACCAAGAAAAGGUGGGACAAACAGUGUCACUAUUGAUCAUUUUUUCCAUGUGGUCACCUUCUAUGAUGUUAUAGACUCUAUCGCCACAAAGGUUGAUCAUCAUUUUAAUGAGGUAUCUUCAAAGUUGCUCUAGAACUUCUCUUGUCUUGACCAUGGAGACUCGUUUUCUAGGUUCAAUGUGAAAAAGCCUGAGACUCACUUAGAUUUAUCAAGAGUAUUUCUCUUAGUAUGAACGUGAACCUAUAGAAGAUAACCUUGAGCUAUUCAUUAUUCAUACGAGAAGAAUUGAAAACAUGUCAUGAUAUUGCAAGCUUGGCUAAAAAGAUAGUUGAACUUGAAUGAUACAACAUGAUUCCUAUGAUUUAUCUCCUCAUUGAGUUGGCAUUGCUAGUACCAGUAGUGACGAAAACAAUUGCAAGAGCCUUCUCAGCAACGAAAAUCCUUAAGACCGAGUUGAGCAACAUGAUGUCCGGUGGUUGGCUUAGCUAUUCGGUGGUGUGUUACAUUGAGCGAGGAGGGAUAUUCAAAAGUCUUCAUCAUGGUAAAUUAAGAAAGAUUUUCAAAAAGAAGGUAGGGCAUUACCAUUGCCUGGGUCUUCUAGACAUCAUUGAAAGUUUCAUUAUUGGUAUGUUUUCGAUUAACGAGUAAAAUUUCUCGCUGUGUUGCAUUAGUGGGAUUUGAUAUGCCUCGUCGAGAAUAGCUAUGUUUUGAACAUGAUUGAGAUUUAUCAUAUUUGGUGAGAACUGCUAAAAACGGGAUGAUUUCUAUGCAUGUUUAUGAAUCUCGGAGGAUUAUAAACAAAAUCUAACACUAGUGUUUGAUAUUUUUAAUAGCUAGAUACAUAUUUUUUUAGUUGUUAGGAUUUACAUCUUUGAGGUUAGCUAUAGUUGGUUUUUUAGCAAAAGCUAUAGUUGGUAAAAUUUACAAGAAUAAUAUCCCAAAUCAAGGGUAAUUAUUUUGUAUUGAUUAACAGCUAUACAUGGGCCAAAAAUGUACAAUGGUGGUCUACACGCGUCAUGUCCAUCUAUAUGACAAUGAACCCUCAAACAAAUCUCUCUUCUUUUGACAAAAAUAAUCAAUUUAUGAUGUAGCAGUAAUUUGACAACUAAAAAAUGACCCAGGUCAACAAAAAAUGGUCGGGUUUCCGUGGUGCCUGUCAUGAUUUUAAGAUCAACGGUCCAUGCAUGUUGUCAUUAUCCAAUAUUAAUUUAUCGCCAAGAUCUUUGGAGAUUUUCUCUUUUCUAUAGGCACUACUAAUUAUAGGGAUUAAUAAUAUCUAUCUUUAGAGUUGUCAAUGCUCUUUUUAUACUCUAACCUCAUAGAUUUCGUUUCACAUCCUAUCCUUACGAGUUUUCCUCGUCUUCGUUGAUCUUAACUAGCAAAUCGUAACCUUAGACACAAGUGGGUAAUAUUUGUCAAGCCAAGUGACACCACGGAGACCAUGGAUGUCAAGUACCACAACGGCUUCGUCAAGAGGGUGAGGCAGGCGGCCGUUGUGCCGGCAGUGGAAGGGGUGAAGUACAAGGAGUGCGGCAGGAAUCAUGCGCUGACUAGUGGUGGGCACGUCGUGGACGGCUGCGGGAGUGAAUACCGUUGGGGGACCUCAACCCCGCUGACGCGUCGUCAUACAAGUGCACGACAUGCGGAUGACACCACAACUUCCAUCGCAAGGUGAUGACGGAGAGGUCGCCGCUGUUGUCGCCCAUGGCAAGAACCGUCAUAGUAGUUGAGCCUAACUGCAAAAAACGCUAACAUAAAAAAAACUUGUCAUGGUAGCUGAAAAAUGUCCCAUGGUAGACGAAAAACGUCUAACACUGGUGUGUGAUGCUGGUGGGAGGAGACGGGAAGGUCCGACAGCGGAGGAGAAUGCAUCAGAGGCGUUGUGGCCAUUGGGUUACUUGCGCUUAUUUUUGUGCCUCCGGUUCCUGAAGAUGUCCUUACUGAUGCCAUUGUCAUGGCACCUCGCUUCGAUGAUGUCCUUAUCGUGCUUCUGCAGGCGCCACCCUAGGUGCUUCGACAGCUCCUGCAUGCGCAUCUUCUGGUAGGCAGUGAACAUGGUGCGGGACCAUUUCCUCGCCGACAUAACCACAUGGGGCGGUGGUGCCGUCACCGGCAAGAGCUGGGCGGGGAGCCUCUGGAUCUGCAGUGCCCCCAGCAGGCGGCUGUGUCAUGGAGAAAAGAUGUACACAGGCAGCUGCUAUGCCAUCGGUGUCGGAGGAUACACAGGUGGAGGCUGAUGUGGUGGGGAGAUGGAGCUCGUCGUCGUACUCCGUGGCAUCCGAGUCAUACUCCAUGCCAUCCGAGUCUGAGUAAGAGUCGGUGACCGGGAGCCAGUCCUCCGGUGUCUGCUCCUCCCCGCGCUACGGCUGGCCAUGGAAUACGAUUGCAGCCAUGGGCGGUAGCAGCAGCAACCUCUCCAUCAUCACCUCGCGGUGCAAGCUGUAGUGGGAGCCACAGGCCGCCCACUUGUAUGACGAUGCGUCGGUGGGGUUCAGGUCCCCCAACGGCAUCCACUCCCCGCAGCCGUCCACGACUUGCCCACUGGUAGCCAGCGCGUGGUUCCUACUACACUCCUUGUACUUCACCCCUUCCACCGCCAAUGCCACGACCGCCUGCCUCACCUUCUUGACGAAGCCCUUAGGGUACUUGAUGUCCAUGGCCCCCCGGUGUCACUCGGCUUCACAAAGUUUACCCACUAGUGUCUAAGGCUUGGAUUUACAAGUUAGGAUCAAUGAAGGCGAGGAAAACUCGUAAGGAUAGGAUGCGAAACGAAGUCUGUGAGUUUAGGGUAUAAAAAGAGCAACAAUUACUCUACCGACAGAUAUUAUUAAUCCAUGUAAUUAGUAGUGACUAUAGAAAAGACAAAAUCUCGAAAGAUCGUAGUGAUAAAUUAAUAUUGGAUCAUGACAACAUGCAUGGACCGCUGAUCAUAAAAUCAAGACAGGCACCAUCGAAACCUAACCAUUUUUUGUUUGACCUUGCUCAUUUUUUAGUUCUCAAAUUACUGCUGCAUUGUCAAUAGAUUUUUUUGUCAAAAAUAGCUUUUUGCAGGGGUCUUCGUCACAUAGAUGGACAGGACGCGUGUAGACCACCAUUGUACAUUUUUUGACCAUGUAUAGUUGUUAAUCAAUACAAAAUAUAAUUACCCUGGAUUUGAGAUGUUAUCCUAUAUAAAAACCACCCCCACUAAUCUAUUUAUCUUGACAUGCAGCAUAUCGGCCUCAACAUGUAUGCCCCACAUGUGCCACCUUCUGCCACUUUAGCGACUCUUUAAAUGCAGCGUUCAGUUACCAAUGUGCAGAACCGACUGUCCACCCGCCUUCUCUCCAUUUCCACUUUCCAGCCAUAAAUCGUGGAUGCCUCUCUCCCUCCCUCGGAAAUAAACACAAACUGAUCGACCUCUCUCCCCCAGAAAAAUUGACGCCAGUUUUCUCCUUGGCUACAGGUGCAGCAGGCCUGCAGGUGGGAGCCGAUCUGUGCAUCAAGGGUCCUCCCAUGGCACGUCCGUUGGUGCUGCUCGCCUCCGCGGUUCUCUAAAAUUCUCUAUGGUAUGAUCCCCCUUGGCCCUUGCAGGUUUGGUGCCAUAUGUGCCCUAGUCCUCCCCUCCUGUGUGUGUCUCUAUUCAGGCUAAGACAGCUUCGGCGUCGUUGGGAAGGUCAGUACCGGCCGGUUCCAAUAGAAUCGGACCAGCUAUAGGAACGCCCAGUGUACCCGAGUCCAAUCAGGUCACCACGCCAUCAAAUUUUCAAUAUUUUUCCUUCUCAUGCUAGAGGGAACGCAUUGUUGUGACGAGGCAGGGCCUCAGCCAUGGCGUUGAGGUUUUUCUUUUGGCUUGGAAGGAACGCCCAGUGUGCAGGAGUCCUUUCAUCUGAAUUUAGAACUCUGAUGUUUCUAACAGUAUGCAAGUUUGUAAAUUGCUCCAUUGAAUAGAUUAGUAUACAAAGUGCUCUUCCCAUCAGGUUAUUCUUAGCCAUGGUGUGGAUAUUUUUAUUUUGGCCUAGAAGGAAUGCCCAGUGUACAUGUGUCCUUUCCUGUGAAUUUAAAACUAUGAUAUUUCUAUUAGUAUACAAGUUUGUACAUUGCUCCAUUGAGCAGGUUAGUA
Molecule: long non-coding RNA, 5763 nt
Organism: Aegilops tauschii subsp. strangulata
Lineage: Eukaryota; Viridiplantae; Streptophyta; Magnoliopsida; Poales; Poaceae
Source: RefSeq, a predicted model, not a curated record